UGACGGUACCUGCAGAAGAAGCACCGGCUAACUACGUGCCAGCAGCCGCGGUAAUACGUAGGGUGCGAGCGUUAUCCGGAAUUAUUGGGCGUAAAGAGCUCGUAGGCGGUUUGUCGCGUCUGUCGUGAAAGUCCGGGGCUUAACCCCGGAUCUGCGGUGGGUACGGGCAGACUAGAGUGCAGUAGGGGAGACUGGAAUUCCUGGUGUAGCGGUGGAAUGCGCAGAUAUCAGGAGGAACACCGAUGGCGAAGGCAGGUCUCUGGGCUGUAACUGACGCUGAGGAGCGAAAGCAUGGGGAGCGAACAGGAUUAGAUACCCUGGUAGUCCAUGCCGUAAACGUUGGGCACUAGGUGUGGGGACCAUUCCACGGUUUCCGCGCCGCAGCUAACGCAUUAAGUGCCCCGCCUGGGGAGUACGGCCGCAAGGCUAAAACUCAAAGGAAUUGACGGGGGCCCGCACAAGCGGCGGAGCAUGCGGAUUAAUUCGAUGCAACGCGAAGAACCUUACCAAGGCUUGACAUGUUCUCGAUCGCCGUAGAGAUACGGUUUCCCCUUUGGGGCGGGUUCACAGGUGGUGCAUGGUUGUCGUCAGCUCGUGUCGUGAGAUGUUGGGUUAAGUCCCGCAACGAGCGCAACCCUCGUUCCAUGUUGCCAGCACGUCGUGGUGGGGACUCAUGGGAGACUGCCGGGGUCAACUCGGAGGAAGGUGAGGACGACGUCAAAUCAUCAUGCCCCUUAUGUCUUGGGCUUCACGCAUGCUACAAUGGCCGGUACAAUGGGUUGCGAUACUGUGAGGUGGAGCUAAUCCCAAAAAGCCGGUCUCAGUUCGGAUUGGGGUCUGCAACUCGACCCCAUGAAGUCGGAGUCGCUAGUAA
This 874-nucleotide ribosomal RNA is filed under the name bacterium 10BG3. RNAcentral describes it as "bacterial SSU rRNA". It matches the Rfam family "Bacterial small subunit ribosomal RNA", at positions 470 to 1341 of the family's 1533-position model. The record is from RNAcentral.